Ornithorhynchus anatinus (platypus) is the source of this 395-nucleotide long non-coding RNA. RefSeq lists it as uncharacterized. The record is from RefSeq and is a predicted model, not a curated record. NCBI's taxonomy places the organism in Eukaryota, Metazoa, Chordata, Mammalia, Monotremata, Ornithorhynchidae. The transcript has 3 exons.
UGUGCGCUGCCCAUCUUGGUGCUCACCUUCUCCCUCGUGGGCUCCUGUUUCUUCUGGGAAAUAGAGAGAUCGUGAGUGUGAAGGAGACUCCACUGACCACCCUGGGUGGCCAACGUCCUGGUGGGAGUUUCCUUCCUGCUGCUGCCAUUCCCGCUGCAGUGGAUCCCAAAGCCCAUGCUCUAUGGCCUGUUCCUCUACAUCGUCCUCACCUCCAUCGACGGCAACCAGCUUCGAGUGGGUCGACCCUAGUGCUCAAGGAACAGGUACAAUCUGCUGCCCAGAAUCAUCAAAGCCAAGUACCUAGAUGCCGUGGAUGCAGAGCACUAGGUGUGAACAUGUGCCGGCCCGGCUUAGCAGUACUCUGGCCUCCCUGCCCCCAGGCUCUUCCUGCCUCC